Long non-coding RNA from Amphimedon queenslandica, 258 nucleotides. RefSeq lists it as uncharacterized. The transcript has 3 exons. The record is from RefSeq and is a predicted model, not a curated record. Lineage: Eukaryota; Metazoa; Porifera; Demospongiae; Haplosclerida; Niphatidae.
UUAGAUAUAAUUGACUGUAAUGCAUUAGGAUGCAGCUCAGGGUUUUGCUGGUGUAAUGACACUGAUUGCUGCCAAACAUUAUCAUUUAAUUGUAAUUGCAACAACGGUCGUUGUUCCAGAAAUGGUCCAAACAUACAAUGUUGCGAUCCACAGUGUGUUGCUGGUUGCAGUGGAGGUGGUAAUAAUGAUCAAUGUAGGGCUUGUAAGAAUGUUUUGAAUGAUGGUGUGUGCCGAGAGAGGUGCCCUGAUCAAUUUAUA